GCCCGCUCAAGAAACUUAAAGGAAGUUGACGGGGGCCCGCACAAGCGGUGGAGCACGUGGUUUAAUUCGAUGCAAACCGAAGAACCUUACCUGGGUUUGACAUGUACGUGUUACUGAUCUGAGAGGAGAGGGACCCAUGCUUCGGUAUGGGAGCGUACACAGGUGCUGCAUGGCUGUCGUCAGCUCGUGUCGUGAGAUGUUGGGUUAAGUCCCGCAACGAGCGCAACCCUUGCCUUUAGUUGCCAGCAGUUCGGCUGGGCACUCUAAAGGGACUGCCGGUGUUAAACCGGAGGAAGGUGGGGAUGACGUCAAGUCCUCAUGGCCUUUAUGACCAGGGCUACACACGUACUACAAUGGCCGAUACAAAGGGCAGCGACACUGCGAGGUGAAGCCAAUCCCGUAAAAUCGGUCUCAGUCCGGAUUGGAGUCUGCAACUCGACUCCAUGAAGUUGGAAUCGCUAGUAAUCGUGGAUCAGCAUGCCACGGUGAAUACGUUCCCGGGCCUU
This 506-nucleotide ribosomal RNA is filed under the name uncultured Desulfobulbus sp. RNAcentral describes it as "bacterial SSU rRNA". It matches the Rfam family "Bacterial small subunit ribosomal RNA", at positions 882 to 1382 of the family's 1533-position model. Lineage: Bacteria; Pseudomonadati; Thermodesulfobacteriota; Desulfobulbia; Desulfobulbales; Desulfobulbaceae. The record is from RNAcentral.